GAUGAACGCUGGCGGCGUGCCUAAUACAUGCAAGUCGAGCGAACGGACGAGAAGCUUGCUUCUCUGAUGUUAGCGGCGGACGGGUGAGUAACACGUGGAUAACCUACCUAUAAGACUGGGAUAACUUCGGGAAACCGUAGCUAAUACCGGAUAAUAUUUUGAACCGCAUGGUUCAAAAGUGAAAGACGGUCUUGCUGUCACUUAUAGAUGGAUCCGCGCUGCAUUAGCUAGUUGGUAAGGUAACGGCUUACCAAGGCAACGAUGUAUAGCCGACCUGAGAGGGUGAUCGGCCACACUGGAACUGAGACACGGUCCAGACUCCUACGGGAGGCAGCAGUAGGGAAUCUUCCGCAAUGGGCGAAAGCCUGACGGAGCAACGCCGCGUGAGUGAUGAAGGUCUUCGGAUCGUAAAACUCUGUUAUUAGGGAAGAACAUAUGUGUAAGUAACUGUGCACAUCUUGACGGUACCUAAUCAGAAAGCCACGGCUAACUACGUG
RNAcentral lists this ribosomal RNA (497 nucleotides) under uncultured bacterium. Its description in RNAcentral is "partial 16S ribosomal RNA". It matches the Rfam family "Bacterial small subunit ribosomal RNA", at positions 28 to 507 of the family's 1533-position model. The record is from RNAcentral.